GAUGAACGCUGGCGGCGUGCCUAAUACAUGCAAGUCGAGCGAACAGACGAGGAGCUUGCUCCUCUGAUGUUAGCGGCGGACGGGUGAGUAACACGUGGAUAACCUACCUAUAAGACUGGGAUAACUUCGGGAAACCGGAGCUAAUACCGGAUAACAUGUUGAACCGCAUGGUUCAACAGUGAAAGACGGUCUUGCUGCCACUAAUAGAUGUAUCCGCGCCGCAUUAGCUAGUUGGUAAGGUAACGGCUUACCAAGGCAACGAUGCGUAGCCGACCUGAGAGGGGGAUCGGCCACUCUGGAACGGAGACACGGUCCAGACUCCUACGGAGGGCAGCAGUAGGGAAUCUUCCGCAAUGGGCGAAGGCCUGACGGGGCAACGCCGCGUGAGUGAAGAAGGUCUUCGGAUCGUAAAACUCUGUUAUUAGGGAAGAACAAAUGUGUAAGUAACUAUGCACGUCUUGACGGUACCUAAUCAGAAAGCCACGGCUAACUACGUG
This 497-nucleotide ribosomal RNA is filed under the name uncultured bacterium. Its description in RNAcentral is "partial 16S ribosomal RNA". It matches the Rfam family "Bacterial small subunit ribosomal RNA", at positions 28 to 507 of the family's 1533-position model. The record is from RNAcentral.